Molecule: ribosomal RNA, 743 nt
Filed under: uncultured Capnocytophaga sp.
Lineage: Bacteria; Pseudomonadati; Bacteroidota; Flavobacteriia; Flavobacteriales; Flavobacteriaceae
Description: bacterial SSU rRNA
Rfam family: Bacterial small subunit ribosomal RNA
Source: RNAcentral
GAUGAACGCUAGCGGCAGGCCUAACACAUGCAAGUCGAGGGAGGAGCUUUCGGGCUUCGACCGGCGUACGGGUGCGUAACGCGUAUACAAUCUGCCUUUCACAUAGGGAUAGCCCGAAGAAAUUUGGAUUAAUACCUAAUGGUAUAUAGGGGUGGCAUCACCUUUAUAUUAAAGCUGAGGCGGUGAAAGAUGAGUAUGCGUUCUAUUAGCUAGUUGGAGAGGUAACGGCUCCCCAAGGCGACGAUAGAUAGGGGUUCUGAGAGGGAUAUCCCCCACACUGGUACUGAGAUACGGACCAGACUCCUACGGGAGGCAGCAGUGAGGAAUAUUGGACAAUGGUCGGAAGACUGAUCCAGCCAUGCCGCGUGCAGGAAGACGGCCUUAUGGGUUGUAAACUGCUUUUGCAGGGGAAGAAUAAGGAGUACGUGUACUUUGAUGACGGUACUCUGCGAAUAAGCAUCGGCUAACUCCGUGCCAGCAGCCGCGGUAAUACGGAGGAUGCGAGCGUUAUCCGGAAUCAUUGGGUUUAAAGGGUCCGUAGGCGGGCUAAUAAGUCAGAGGUGAAAGCGCUCAGCUCAACUGAGCAACUGCCUUUGAAACUGUUAGUCUUGAAUGGUUGUGAAGUAGUUGGAAUGUGUAGUGUAGCGGUGAAAUGCUUAGAUAUUACACAGAACACCGAUAGCGAAGGCAUAUUACUAACAAUUAAUUGACGCUGAUGGACGAAAGCGUGGGGAGCGAACAGG